GACGUAGGGCGCGAGCGUUGUCCGGAUUUAUUGGGCGUAAAGAGCUCGUAGGCGGCUUGUCGCGUCGACUGUGAAAACCCGUGGCUCAACCAUGUGGUCUGCAGUCGAUACGGGCAGACUAGAGUGCGGUAGGGGAGACUGGAAUUCCUGGUGUAGCGGUGAAAUGCGCAGAUAUCAGGAGGAACACCGGUGGCGAAGGCGGGUCUCUGGGCCGUAACUGACGCUGAGGAGCGAAAGCGUGGGGAGCGAACAGG
RNAcentral lists this ribosomal RNA (254 nucleotides) under uncultured bacterium. Its description in RNAcentral is "partial 16S ribosomal RNA". It matches the Rfam family "Bacterial small subunit ribosomal RNA", at positions 524 to 776 of the family's 1533-position model. The record is from RNAcentral.